This 264-nucleotide ribosomal RNA is filed under the name uncultured Glomeromycotina. RNAcentral's name for it is "partial 18S ribosomal RNA". It matches the Rfam family "Eukaryotic small subunit ribosomal RNA", at positions 619 to 888 of the family's 1831-position model. The record is from RNAcentral. Lineage: Eukaryota; Fungi; Glomeromycota.
UUAAAAAGCUCGUAGUUGAAUUUCGGGAUUAGUACGUUGGUCGUGCCUUCGGUACGUACUGGUGUUACUGAUUCCUACCUUCUGACGAACCAUCAUGUCAUUAAUUUGGUGUGGCGGGGAAUCAGGACUGUUACUUUGAAAAAAUUAGAGUGUUUAAAGCAGGCUCGCGCUUGAAUACAUUAGCAUGGAAUAAUGAAAUAGGACGUUGAUCCUAUUUUGUUGGUUUCUAGGAUUGACGUAAUGAUUAAUAGGGAUAGUUGGGGG